UAAAGCACUGUCAAAGGAAGGGAAUCCAGAGAUGUUUUGAAAGAUGCAAAAGUAAAAUUCCACAACCAGAAUCCUCACUGCCUAGUAAUCUCCACACCAAAAUUGAAAGAGAGUGAAUGAUAUGAGUGCAGCAAACCAAGAUGUGAACCAAAUGAAUUCUAUAAAUUAUUUCUACAGAUAUUAAGUUGUAAGUAGGGCACUCGAAUUGUUUGGUAAAAUUCCAGAAGGGAAAGACACGCCGUACUGAUUGCAACAGCCAGCUUACAUAGAUAAGUCACAUGAAAUGUUUCUUAUAAUGCCUCAAAAGCAUCGAUCAGGCAGUUGAAAGGUCGUGGAUUGUUGAAACAGACAAAUGUAACCAGUCAAGGUAAGGUACACAAGAAUUGUGUGAUCUUUCGUAUAAAGAAGGUUGUGCAGCUACAGAUUGCCGCCAACUGUUUGACAAAAUGCUCUGCUAAAUCUAUAUACAAAAUGUUCUGUUAAAUCUUUAUCGACAAAGGGAUGUGAACGGAUUGUUUAGUAAAAUAUGUGGCAUCAUACUUAUGGUCGAUUCAACUCAAAGGAGAAACCCACUCUUGGCGAUGCGCAGAUUAAAACCCACAGUCGGAGUAUUGCAUACUCUUUGGAAUUUAGAGCAUUUGCAGAUGCGAACACCUUAGAAGAAGCGUACAACCACACCCCUCUUUGUCAAGUAUUUUUUAUUGGAUACCAUUUCAACACUUGUAGGAAACCUAAAAGUAAAUAAUGGAGACCGAAUUUGUGGAUUCUUCUGCUAUUAUAGUUUUAUCUAAUGGUGGAGGGUUUGUCCUCUGUGCCAUGUUUGGAAUAAAGAAUAAAGCUUUUAUGGCAUCCUCUAGUAAGAAAGCACAGUGGCUCGUUAUGCAAAAGAAUCUUCAAGCAAAUUGCUUUGGGAAUUGUUAUCCUUGGAGAUGUGGGAUACAAGACUUUGACCAAGGAUGGUGAUUGUGAGAAUUCUUAUAGAAAUAUUGUUAUUUUCACAUUAUUCCCAUUUCUGCAUAAUGCUUUGAUCCUAGCAUUUAUUUUGCUAAUACCCACAAAACUGUGAGAAAUUAUGAAAUUAAGGGAUUAUUUUAUGAACAUAUUGGCUACAGGUUUACUUAAUCUAAACGAUAUGGGUAAACAAUUGGCCAACUUGAAAUCUUGAACUGAAAUUUUAUUUUAUUUUCCAAGCAUGCUGGUUAAAAUUACAAAAUCUUGAGUUGCCAUUGUGGCAUCAUAUUGUGGUGUUUGAAGUUUUGAAGAGUUUUUGUUCUGCAACUUCUCUUUGAAUUUUUUUGACAUUAAACAGGGUAACACAAAUGUAGUGACUGGGAUGAUCAAAGCACUUGGGAAACUGAUUGCUAAUGUGCAGAUUCCAGAUGCUAGUGAAAAGAGUUUUGUUAUUGUUAAUGGUAUGUUCAGCAAGAAAAGAUAAAGGUGUUGAGUGGAGCAUGGACGAUAAUGCAACUAAUGCAGUAGUGAUGGUUACAAGUGAGGCACAUACAAUCAAAUUAGUAGUUGAAGAGUUGCUGGGAGUAGUGACACUAACAAAUGAAGUUGAUUAAAUAAUUUAGAGGUAGGGGAUAUUUCUGAAAUAUAGAUUAUACAUGGAGAACGCAUUAAUGGGGACUUCUUUGAUGAGAAAGGUGGUAGUGAACGUCUUCUAGAAUUUGCAAGUGAAGCAGGGUAACACAAAUGUAGUGAGUGGGAUGAUCGAAGCACUUGAACAACUGAUUGCUAAUGUGCAGAUUCCAGAUGCUAGUCAAAAAAGUUUUGCUAUUGUUACGGGUAUAUUUAGCAAGAAAGGCAAAAGGUUUUGAGUGGAGCAUAAACAAUUGUGCAACCAAUGCAGUAGUGGUGGUUACAAGUGAGGCACAUACAAGCAAAUUAGCAGUUAUAUUUUGAUAAAUCAUAGCCCACACCUUGCCAUAAAGAUACUUUGAUUAUAUAAAAAUGAUUUAGAAGGUGUGCACAAAUGGGCCAAGUUGCACAGUAAUGUUUUAUGGUGACAUGACAAUAGUGACGUUGCAAGUAUGGUGAUCAAUAUAAUUGCUAUGUGCUUUAAAAGCAGAAUAGCAUUAAGAAUGGAUUGCUCGUGUAGGGAAUUUCGUAAAAGACAAUACAUAGCAUUAAUAUUGAUAAAAUAGAAAUA
Cryptomeria japonica (Japanese cedar) is the source of this 2152-nucleotide long non-coding RNA. RefSeq lists it as uncharacterized. The transcript is spliced from 2 exons. The record is from RefSeq and is a predicted model, not a curated record. NCBI's taxonomy places the organism in Eukaryota, Viridiplantae, Streptophyta, Pinopsida, Cupressales, Cupressaceae.